Molecule: ribosomal RNA, 253 nt
Filed under: uncultured bacterium
Lineage: Bacteria
Description: partial 16S ribosomal RNA
Rfam family: Bacterial small subunit ribosomal RNA
Source: RNAcentral
GACGGAGGGGGCUAGCGUUAUUCGGAAUUACUGGGCUUAAAGGGUGCGUAGGCGGCGCGGAAAGUUGGGUGUGAAAUCCCUCGGCUCAACCGAGGAACUGCGCCCAAAACUACCGUGCUCGAGGAAGAUAGAGGUGAGCGGAACUCACGGUGGAGCGGUGAAAUGCGUUGAUAUCGUGAGGAACACCGGUGGCGAAGGCGGCGUUCUGGACUGUUUCUGACACUGAGGAACGAAAGCCAGGGGAGCAAACGGG